Non-coding RNA from Podarcis lilfordi (Lilford's wall lizard), 539 nucleotides. Lineage: Eukaryota; Metazoa; Chordata; Lepidosauria; Squamata; Lacertidae. The record is from the annotation of a GenBank genome assembly.
AGUUGCUACCCAGGGCGCAGCCGCUGCAGGAGGACGCAAUUGCAGACGGCGCUCAGCCGUUUCCCUGUCCUUUUUCAAAGCGGGUCUUUCACAAAUGGGAGAUAAAAGCAGACUGGGGGAAGGGCAAGAGGGGAAUUGAGUUAGAAAUGUCCAAGAGGAAAAGGAUAGGCGUCUUGACUCACUCCCCUGGAAAGCCUCAGCUCCCCCCAGGGCUGGGUAGUCGAGCGAAUGGGAACGCGAUGCAGCGCGUUGGAGAAAAACCUCGGUCAGUCUCUCUUUGCUAUUGCCAUAACCCUGUCCUGGUUGCUAUAGAAAUGGGUUUUUUAAAGAGACCGUUGGAAACAUCAGGGAGUCGUUAGAGGAUUGGUUUGUUCUAAGCUGGGAUUGGCCUGUUGCUCAGGCUUUCCAAAGAAAGGAGGAUCAGAGGUUUGUCUUGGCCCAGGACAUUUCGGUGAAGAAGCGCUGCAAGUAUGUGAGUGGCGCGGAGCAAUGCGGUUAUCUGUUUAGGGAAGGCUUCCUUGAAGAACUGGGAAAGGUUG